This 253-nucleotide ribosomal RNA is filed under the name uncultured bacterium. RNAcentral's name for it is "partial 16S ribosomal RNA". It matches the Rfam family "Bacterial small subunit ribosomal RNA", at positions 524 to 776 of the family's 1533-position model. The record is from RNAcentral.
UACAGAGGUCCCAAGCGUUGUUCGGAUUCACUGGGCGUAAAGGGUGCGUAGGUGGUGAGGUAAGUCGGAUGUGGAAUCUCCGAGCUCAACUCGGAAAUGGCAUUGGAAACUACCUUGCUAGAGGGUUGGAGGGGGGACUGGAAUGCUUGGUGUAGCAGUGAAAUGCGUAGAUAUCUGGAGGAAUACCGGUGGCGAAGGCGGCAUCCUGGACCGACAUUGACGCUGAACGGCGAAAGCUAGGGGAGCAAACGGG